RNAcentral lists this ribosomal RNA (502 nucleotides) under uncultured bacterium. RNAcentral's name for it is "partial 16S ribosomal RNA". It matches the Rfam family "Bacterial small subunit ribosomal RNA", at positions 30 to 523 of the family's 1533-position model. The record is from RNAcentral.
AUUGAACGCUGGCGGAAUGCUUUACACAUGCAAGUCGAACGGCAGCACGGGUGCUUGCACCUGGUGGCGAGUGGCGAACGGGUGAGUAAUACAUCGGAACGUACCCAGUCGUGGGGGAUAACGUAGCGAAAGUUACGCUAAUACCGCAUACGUCCUGAGGGAGAAAGCGGGGGACCGUAAGGCCUCGCGCGAUUGGAGCGGCCGAUGUCUGAUUAGCUAGUUGGUGAGGUAAAGGCUCACCAAGGCGACGAUCAGUAGCUGGUCUGAGAGGAUGAUCAGCCACACUGGAACUGAGACCCGGUCCAGACUCCUACGGGAGGCAGCAGUGGGGAAUUUUGGACAAUGGGCGAAAGCCUGAUCCAGCCAUUCCGCGUGAGUGAAGAAGGCCUUCGGGUUGUAAAGCUCUUUCGGCAGGAACGAAACGCUCUAGAUUAAUACCCUGGGGUAAUGACGGUACCUGAGGAAGAAGCACCGGCUAACUACGUGCCAGCCGCCGCCGUAA